RNAcentral lists this long non-coding RNA (9344 nucleotides) under Homo sapiens (human). Its description in RNAcentral is "HSALNT0302972". Lineage: Eukaryota; Metazoa; Chordata; Mammalia; Primates; Hominidae. The record is from RNAcentral.
GCAAUCUCAGCUCACUGCAACCUCCGCCUCCCGGGUUCAAGAGGUGUUACAGUUCCAUGACUGCUCCUGUAGAGCAGGACUACUGUGUAGGGAGAGAGUAGCCGUUCAGGGCCAUUCUGCAGUCAUAUUUACACGCACUUUAAUUGCAUGCAGAUAAAGGAACAGUUUAUGCAGCAAUUUCUAGGGAAGGGAUAGUAACUUUUGGGUCAUUGGGUCAUUGCCAUGGAAAAGGGUGGUAACGCCCACAUGUUGCUAUGGCAACGGUGAAUUGACCCGGCACACUAGUGGGCGUGUCUGAUUGAAAGCGGCUUUCUCUGGGGCCGUUUUAGCUAGUCCUCAAUCUGGUCCCGUGUCCAAGUGUCCAAGCCAUGCCUCUGGAGUUGAGUGCCACCUCCUACCUCACCUUGUUGAAUAGAAAAUGAAUGAGUGACAGUAUGAAUGAAUGGACACCUGUUAAAAGAGCCAUCUAUUACAGCUAAAUGAAUGAAGGGCAUAGACAGUCCUUUGGUUGUUUUUCCAACUAGAAAUCUCUCCCUGUGUUCUGUGAUGGCCUAAGUCUGGCCCUGCUCAAGUGAGGGACUUCCUCGAUGGGCUGGUCUCAUUCUUGUGCCCUCCAGGACAGCAGGGCAGAGGGAGAGGGAAAUGGGAGGGGCUGAGGGACAACGUGGCUCUUCUGGGAGCCUCUUUACCCUGUGAAAUUUCCUCUGGCAGCUUUCCCCCUUGGCCUGCAGCCUGUGCCGGCCCCUGCCCCCAACUCAUUGGCUUUGGUUACAGGGACAGGCCCAGAGUCAAGAACAAUAAAGGGAGGAGGGGCCUGCUUCACAGGGUCAGGGGUCAGGGAGGGGGUUUGAAGGGUGAGGAGAUUGGCUCUGUGUAGCAUCCGGUUUCAAACAACUCUGUUUAGAAAUAGAAGAGAAGCCCUCCGGAAAAUGGAAGGGCUCUGGCAGGCCUCCCAGCUGGCCAAGGAACAGCAAGUUCCUGCCAAUAUGUGACGGAAGUGGGGGAUUUGUGGGGAGGGAGGAGGGAAGAGGGCACUGGAGGGAGUAGACACAACCUAGCAACAUUUUCCCUGCUAAAAACCUUGCUCUGAAGUAAACAUGGAGGGUUCUUAUUCUUCCUGGCUGUGUGCACUCGGGCCAGCCUACUUCCUGUGGGCGCAAUUAUUCCCAGGGGUGUGUGUUUUCGUUUUUAAAGACAGAGAAUUAUAAGCUAUUCAUGGUCACUGCCUGAGAAUUCUUUGGAAUAAUGAGAUAGAAAAAUCAUCUCUACUGUUCACAUUUCUGAGGAAGAACAAGCCUUCUAGACUCUCUCCUAGGAUGGGGCUGGGAAACUCACUUUUUCUCCUGCUAAGCUCCUUCUCAGUCCAUUAGAGCCAGAGGGCCAAUAGGGGCCUCUUCGUGCUUUGUAGGCUAGAGGGUGUAAAGAACCUAGAUGUGCAGGAAAUCUGCUCUGGCUGAUCAGGCAGGUGAACUCGGGGAGGGAGAGCUCUAAGGGAGGACCAAAUGAGACAGUGGAGAUGGCGGCUCGGCUUCAGCUCACCCCUGCUGGAGCAUUCUUAGUGAUCACAAAACCCACACUACUGCCUCGCUGAUACCAUAAUGUGCAACCAUGCCUUUUACUUUACAAAUUUCAGGCACUGGCCUUUGGAGAUAACAAGGUUGUGAAGUGUCCCACUUCGGGAAGGAAUGCUAACAAUUGAGUUACCGCCUUGUUGCCACUGACCAGAGCAUCAGGUGGUCCAUUACUCAAGAUAACCGUGGCAACCAGAUAUGCUGACCCUCAUCCCCUACCCUCAGGUGCUUUGCCCAGCCCACCCUGUAUACCUCAUGCCCCAUGUUAAUUCCUGCGCUUUGCCUAAUAAAAAAGCAGGGCUCUUUUGGGGGAGUAAGUCAGGGAAUUCUCUCUCUGUCUCUGUCUCUGUCUCUCUCUCUCUCUCUCUCGCUGCCUCUUUUAUGUCCAGGCAUAAGCUCCAGUGAAGCCUUGUUUGGAAAAACUCUUUGGGCCUUGUGUGAAUUUCUAUUGCAUUGAGAGCCCAAGAAUCAUGGUUGGUAAUGUGAGGGGCCUUAUUGAGGGGGGGCAAGUCAUUCCACAUUUUCCAAAUGAGACCGAAGUGGAUACACAGACUAACAAUAACUGCAGUGACUCAUUCUCCUUUCCAGAACCUCAACUCACAGCUGUCCCCAGUGGCUUUGUGGCAUUUCACAACAGUUUUGACUUUAGAACCUCUCUCACCUUGGCCCCCACUCCAGAGCCAAAGGAACCCCCACAUCUCAGGAAGUAGGUUAUGAAUCUGGGAUACCCUGGAAGCCCAGAUGCAAAACCCAUAUUAGGGAGGAGGAAAUGGGGAAAAUGAAUGUUUUUUAAAGCCACCUUCUACACAAGCCUCCCCAAGAAGGGUGGAUCAUCUUUGCUGCUAUAGGAACUCUUAUUCAUUGCUGGUGGAGGGUCCAAAGAGAUAAUGUUAAAGUAUUGAUUUGAGCUGAAGGAGUGAAUUAUGCUAAUAAUUAGAUUAUUAAUCCUUUUACAAAUCUAACACUAUCCAAUUAUUUUAACAAAGAUGAAGGAGAAACUAAUGAGUGUUCCAUAAUAUCAGUAUUGGACAACGUAGCUUUAGAGCUUUAUGGUCACAGAAAAGGAAAAAAAAUUGAAUUUGUAUACAUUUUAAGAGAAAUGAUAAGGCGAUUAAUAAAUGACUUUGAUCAUAAAUGUAUAUUAUAUCAGGAUAAAGUUCUUUAGGGAAAGAGGAGUGGAAAUACAAACUCAAGGAGAAAAAAGGAAUAAUGUAAAAUUUCUGACUGUUAAAGAAGAGCUUGUUCGUGAUUUUUUUUAAAAAAAUGGAACAUAUUAAAUUGCUAAAACAUUCCAAUUCUAUUUUGAUACAUUUAAAUAGUGGCUUAUAGUUAUUCCAAAAUGUUUAACUGUUAAAAUGUUAAAAGAUUUCAAAUUUACAGUAAAAUGUAACAUUUUUCAGCUAUUUAAACUCAAAAUGAGAUUUAAAAUACCAACACAAAAAUUUUAAGGCAUCCCUUCAGAGUAGAGGAGGAAAAAAAAACUGUCAAAGGGGAUAUAUAAUGUUCCAACAUUAUUUUAGGGGACAUGCAAUGCAAGCAAAAUACUUGAAGACUCCUGAGCUGGACAGCAUUUGUGUUCUUUUCAACUCUUUGGAUUUUGUGGAUGGGGUCUAAGAGGUUACUCUGGUGAGUGGGCACUGCAAAGAGCAGGACACCUAUCUCCAAAUGUAAAGGUUCACUUACAACCAAGUCUCCAAACAAAACAAAGUAGAAACAAGCCAACAAAUAAAACCCACCAUCUCCUUCUCUUAUACACACACACACACACACACACACAGAGCAGACCCCCCAAGCCCCCCAGUAGUUGUUCCAGUAUAGGCCGUUCAUCAACCUGUGAAAACAUGAGCUUCGUUAGCAACAGGGCAUGGUCUGAUCCCUGGGAAAUCUCUGGAGCUGGGAGUGGCCUCAAAGAGGAUCAUUAAAGAUCAAAAACCCCACUUGAAGUUGUUUGUUCUGCUGCAGUGUAAAUCCUCUUGGCUGAGCAGCCCUUGACAGAGUCUGCUGCCUAAACAGAAGUCUUAGACGGGUGUUUGGUUUGUUUUCUGUGGAAAUCAAGGCAAAGGUCUGAGUUCCACAUCUGAGUGCAGACCCAGGACAGUGUACACGGGAUGGCAAAGUGACUCAAACUGAAAGAACUCAGUGGAAGCAGAAACUAGGAGCCAGAGGUGUCAGGAAUAGCUCAGCCCUUCCCAGAGGCAGCAAGAGAGCAAGAAGGACAGAGGAGACUGAGCUGGCAGGUCUCUAAAUGACCUCAAGUCACCACAGCCACUGGUGCUGAAGGAAAUGGGAAAAUAGUCUCGUGACCCAGCGAGUGCUUCCCAUGCAGGUGAGCGCUGACAGUGGGAGACAGGGGUGUAUCAUCCUGGCAAGAGAGCAGAGGGGAGAGGAGAGGACUCCUCAUGCUGUGGGAGCUGGAAUCCUGGCUUGGCUGCCCUGAGUCAGCCUUCAAUAGCCAGAGCCAGACCUCCCCUUCCUAGCAGGGCCCUGCCCAGAUCAGGUGGCCGGGAGGGGCUGUUGCUCAGCCCUAAUCCUGGGAUCAACCCCAGGAAGUGGUAGCAGGACCCAGGUGGCCUUGGACCAUUUCAAAGACUGGCAUCAGAUGUUUAUCAGCUAGUAUUUGUACAAGGCCCAGGCUGAGGAUGCAUAAGAGACUGUGAAAAAUGUCAGGAAAGCGAAAACAGCUUUCUGUAAAUAGGGCUCAGACCCUGGGCAAGGUGCUAUGUCUCCCCUUGGGGCUUUGGUGAAGGAAAACGCAAACAUUAAUCCAGAGUGAGAGAAAGAAACAGACACCACCUUGUAGGAAGAUGGAGGACUGACUCCAGGAAACUCCAAGAGACGGGAUGCAAAGAGAGGCAGGGUCUGUGUUUUACUUUUUCUUUGAAUGUUCUGCAGUCUGUCAUCUCUGGAGGCCUCAGAACCUGGUGUCACAUUACAGGGUGAAUGCCAGGGACAAGCUAAAGAGAGGAGAAGGUAUGACAUAGCUCCACCUACAUGCAAGGGGAGCCAGGAAGUGCAAUCCCUGGCUGGGCUGCCACGUCUCAGAAACCAUUAAGCCUAUGGAAGGUCUCUGGAUUUGAUGGCAAAUGGCAGCAGAAAUGUGGAAAAGAUCAAAGUGAUGUCAAGGUUGAUCUCUGAGUUUGGCAUGGCUGAACUCAAACAUCAUUUGCCAUGGACCCACAGUGUCUUCAGUAGCUGAGUGUGGUGUCAUUCCCCUAUGAUAUGUGCACUCAAUUGCUGGCCAGUUUUUGUUUUUUGUUUUUGAGAGAGUCUCGCUUUGUCUCCUAGGCUGGAGUGCAGUGGCACGAUCUCGGCUCACUGCAACCUCCGCCUCCCGGGUUCAAGUGAUUUUCCUGCCUCAGCCUCCCGAGUAGCUGAGAUUACAGGCAUGUGCCAGCAGGCCCGGCUAAUUUUUUUUGUAAUUUUAGUAGAGACGGGGUUUUGCCAUGUUGGCCAGGCUGGUCUCGAGCUCCUGGCCUCAAGUGAUCCACCUGCCUCCACCUCCCAAAGUGCUGGGAUUACAGGUGUGAGCCACUGUACCUGGCCCCAAAGUUUUAGAAAUUGGAUCAUUUUAAAUGUUGGAGGGGAGUUCAUUGUUUAGGAUGGCUGUGUGGCAAAUCUUUUUUUAAAGUAAGUAAUUCUCCUCUAUUAUAAGUCACCUCCUGAUCUCUACAUUUAAGGUUUGCUGUCCUGGAUGUGUUCACCUAUGAAUGUAAGUGUGCUGAGAUACACAGUGCAAGGCUGAAGUCAGAGUACACCACUGAUGAACCCCUGGGAACUGGUAACCCAGCCAGGGAAUGAACAUCUUUUAUGAAUCAGUUUAUCCACCAAACACUUGCAGAGAGCCUAUCCCAUGCCACCCCUGAGGGCACGGUGAUGGAGAAGAUAUGCUUCCUGCCUCCAAGAACCCCAUAGUCUAGUGGCAGAGACAAGCAGGUACAUAGCUGCCUAUAGUACAGCAUCACAGGUGCCAUAACAUUGUGUAAACUGGGAAUAAUUCUAUUCUCUGGAUAUAGAACAUCUAACCAAGAUAUUGAGUAUCUGGCUUCCCCUUCCCCACACUGGCCCUCACUGGGAUCCAUGUCUAAUAUUAUGAAAGUCACACAAUAUCAUUAUAAACUAAUCAUAAAUGGCACUGUCAGUUUGCUACAAAAACUUAUUCAGAAAAUAUUCAGAUUCUCCCAUCAACAUAUGCCGCUAUGUUGGCAAAAGCUCUGAUUUAAAAUACUUAUUUCGUUUUCCUCUCCGAUUUUGUUCUAGUCUUCAAAAUGAUUUCAUACAACAUAGCACUGAGUUCCUUAGUUCCUCUGACCCCUGCCAGAUCUGAAGCUGUGAUGUUCAAAAGUCAGGGCAGAGUCCAUCUUAUGAUUGAGUUUCAUAAGAGUCUAAGCCACUGAUCAACAUACUGUGGCAGAGUAAGCUUUCUGGGUUCCAGAAUUUAUUGUGAGUGGGCUGAGGGAGUUGAGAAAUGGCAUGGGAGGCCUAAAGAGAAAAUAACUUUUGAAUGAAAAUUAUAGGAAAGUGGAUUUGAGAUCAAAACAAAGGAAGGUUGAUCAUAGUUGGAAUCAUUUAAGAUUGGUGGGGGUAGUGGGCUUCUGGUUCUUAACCCAGGCCAGGCAGAGGUGUGACAACAGUCAGGGGUUUCUAAACAGGGUGGGAGGUUAGAUGAGAAUAGCCUUCAACCCUUUGUGUUGAACUAAAAUCCUAGCUCUGCUUUCAACUCCUAGACUCUGCUUCAUCAUUGCUAAGUUGGAAAGAGCAAGCAAUUGAGAGUCCCUGCUGGCCACAGCUGGGGUGCCCCAGACCACAGCACUGAGCCUCAAAGGCAAGUGAGCAUAGUGUUGGGAGCUGGGCUUCUGGAUCCAUCAACUCCAUCUGAUGACUCGGAAGUUCCUUCAGUUCCCAACACUGGAGUCCAGCAAGGCUGGUUUGUCUUGUUUUAAUUAUUAUUUAGAUGACUGUUUGGCUCAUACCUGAGCAAGGUUCAAAUCAAGUCAGACCUGUUAAUUUAAUCAAAGUUAUAUAAUCACAUUUGGGCACUUAAAUGUAAACCAAUUAUGUUGGAAGCCAAGUAUCUUGUACUCAGGAGGGAGUUCUAAUAAGUGCUGGGAAUGUAUGCUAAUGCACAAAGCCUAACCCCCAGAGUGGAGGGUGGAGCACUCCAGGGCACUCCUGUUUCGGUGACGUUGUUUUAAUAGCUAGUGCUCUGGGUGCAGUCUGGGAAGAUAUUGGAAACAUCUCAAGCAAGUAUGACAUCCAUUUUACCCAAGCCCAUGGAACCCAUUAUGUUUGGAACAUGUCUGUCUGUGGCAUUUGGCUUGGCUUAUAAAUGCACUAUCAGAAUCUAUAGGAGGCCUUCGCAACAAGACGUGUCUUGGCCUUUCUGGUUAUCAGCAAUCCCUCCACCUCUCUCUUAACAAACAUAUGCCAUAAGUCCUGAUCAGGCAUUUAGUUUUUUCACUUGGACCUUUUCCUAGUUCCUAGUCUCAACCCCAAUGCCUCCUAAUCUUGUACUUCUUCAAAUACUGGCCCCCCUCUACUAUGAGAGAGAGAGGAAAGUAGGGAGGAGAAGGAGGAAAAGUUAUUGAGUUGAUAUGAGGGUAGUCAACCUAAAGCAACAAUCAGGAGUAAGGUACUGGACUUGAGUUUGAAGUGUUUGUCACUAAACUCUCUCAAACUCUUCCAGGCUAACUAGCCUCAGAGGGCUUCUAGCCCAUAGUCUCCUUGUAUUUUCUGCCCUCCUCACUUGGAGUGGGAGGGAACCAGAUGUCCAGUCUUUGUCCCGUGUUAAGAACUGGCCUGGCAGGCUUUGUUGAGACCAUCCAGACUUGAAAGCCUCACAACCAGAUGCCAUCACAGGCACUUUCUGCUCUUAACCUUUGUCUGUGUCUCCUACAUGAACUCAUCAGACUGCCUCUGAAGAGGGACAUUCUAGGGACAGUUUCAUCUUCAUCACCAUCCUGGAUAGGGAACCCUUCCAGACUCAGAGUUGCAAAAGUCAGGGAGGGGCUGCUCACUGGAGGUGGAGUCCUUUGGCCAGGUUUCACUGUAAACACAUGGCUAAAAUGUGUCGCACAUGGACAGGCAUGCUAGUGUGCUCUGGAUACAUGCUAGUGUGCCCCAGAUAUAUGCUAGUGUGCCCCGUAUAGCUUCUGGCUAAAGGACACACCUCAGCAAGGCCAAAUGAGGCAUCAGGAUGAACUCUUCAAAUAGACUUCAUUAGACCCACAGAAGACUAACCUUUGCCUGACUUUGGAUUACCCCUUUCUUGCCAGGAAUUAUGUUCAAUGACUAUAUCUGGAACUAGAGGUCUUGAUAGCCACACUUUGCUUGGUGUGGCUUCUCAGUCUUUUAAGGACAUGGCUAUCAAGGGCUCAUGUUUAUUCCAGGUCAGCCCUUUACCCCUUUCCUCCAGGGGCAUCUAUGGCAACAAAAGACCAUGACAUCUGGCAGGGCUGGCAGGACUAUUUAGUUUAGGCAGGAAUGUGGGUGUUAGCAUGUCAGAGUACAUCUGAGAAAACAUUCCAAACCAACCUUUCCACACUGGGAACUCAACCCCCAGGAAUCACCAAAGAUAAGGGCAACAGUCUUAUCUCUCGAGGGAAGUUCAGGGUAAAGUCCACUCCUGCUGUGGACCAGAGCUCAGGGAAGAAGAAAGCUCAGGCUGGCUCUGCCUGUCCACUUGAUGAACUUCCACAAAUGCCACUCUGGGAGCUGAGGCAUAUGAAGUGGGGAAGAAAAUACCAGCCCUGCCCUGGAGCUCUGGGAUGGUGGCUGUACACCCCUAAAGAUGCCAGCAGAUCUGAACUGUGGCCUAUGUGUGUUUGGGAAUUGAGAAAUAAGGAGAUAGAGGGACAGCAGGCAGGAAAAACUACAAUUAGUCUCAGCUCACACAGAUUUGGGAGUAUGCAGAUCUGAAUUGUGGCCUCCAUGUGUUUGGCUGAAGGAUAAUGAUCUCAGGCCCAGACUUUUUUUUUUUUUUGUAUCACUCGCUCAGGGGGCUCUGACCAGGAGCUUCUUUCAGAUGACACAGAUCCCGAGGAGCCACUUGCCUUCUACCCAUGACACUUCUAAGAGUGACUCUUGCCAUGUGACCAUAGAGAUAAGUGAAGUUUUCUCCAAUGACAUCAUUAAGAAGUCUAAACUUCCCCAAAGGGAGAGGCUGUGACUAGGAACACAAAUGUCUCAGUGUAUCACACUCAUGCUCCCAGAUCUGUGGGCAGAAAAAGAAAUCAUAGAAUGGUGCAUAUCCUAAAAAUAAAAAGGAAAUUGCUUUUCAAGUUAUGAAAUUUGGCCCUUCUCAUUGUGAGUUUAAAGUACAUGUUACUGCUUCAGUUUCUAAAACAGGAGGUGGCCAAAUUCAGAGUUUAAAAUGUCUAAGUGGUUAUUUGAAAACAGAUAUUUAGAGGCAACUGAGAGAAGAAUACUGGGGCCAUGGGUCUGCAGUCACUUUCCCAGCAGUGCUCUGAGGCCUUGGGUCUCAUAAAAGGUAAUCAUAGUUACGCCUUUUAAAGAAAGCUGAGUCUAACUGUAGCUUUUCCUGCCUGUUGUCCCUCUAUCUCCUUACUUCCCAAUUCUAUCUAUCUUUCAAAACCCAGCUCAAAUCCCACCUCCUUCCAUAAGUCUUCCAUUGUUUAAUAUAGUUGGAAUUUACCUCUCCCUCCUCUAACUCCCAUGGCAUUUUAUUUACACCUCUCUGAUGGCCACUUUCUACUUUCUAUAAGGUAAGUUAUAUACUUGUUUUAUAUCAAUAAAUUUCAAAAUAUUGAAAUCUUA